Molecule: long non-coding RNA, 411 nt
Organism: Sinocyclocheilus rhinocerous
Lineage: Eukaryota; Metazoa; Chordata; Actinopteri; Cypriniformes; Cyprinidae
Exons: 4
Source: RefSeq, a predicted model, not a curated record
UUUGUGUGUAUUUCUCUGCAGUCUUUCAUCAACGGCCUGUUACCUGGUGAUGAGUAUGAUAUCCCCCCUCUGCGUCACUCCCCUCCCCUUGUGGACCACAACCAGAGACACACCAACCCCUUCACAAGCCACCGAAGUCUGACGGACAGAGUGGAGGACGAGUAUCAGAUUCCCUCAUCACAUCCCGUCUGCAUCACACAGCCGGCCGUCUGCAUCCCCUUCCGCAUCCCCAACAGGGCUUUAGAAAACGGCUCGUCGGAUCUCUCAACAGACAUAAAGAAACAUAAACCUCCAGAGCAUGGUGGGUUUGACUCUGGUUCGUUGAUUUUGGGUUUGGCUCACACCACACAGUGCCCCCUCCACAACAGGACACCCUCAGACUAUGACAUUCUACUGCCCCCUCAAGGUAGC